AAAUUGAAGAGUUUGAUCAUGGCUCAGAUUGAACGCUGGCGGCAGGCCUAACACAUGCAAGUCGAACGGUAACAGGAAGCAGCUUGCUGCUUCGCUGACGAGUGGCGGACGGGUGAGUAAUGUCUGGGAAACUGCCUGAUGGAGGGGGAUAACUACAC
Molecule: ribosomal RNA, 158 nt
Filed under: Salmonella enterica
Lineage: Bacteria; Pseudomonadati; Pseudomonadota; Gammaproteobacteria; Enterobacterales; Enterobacteriaceae
Description: partial 16S ribosomal RNA
Rfam family: Bacterial small subunit ribosomal RNA
Source: RNAcentral